This 253-nucleotide ribosomal RNA is filed under the name uncultured prokaryote. RNAcentral's name for it is "partial 16S ribosomal RNA". It matches the Rfam family "Bacterial small subunit ribosomal RNA", at positions 525 to 777 of the family's 1533-position model. The record is from RNAcentral.
ACGUAGGUGGCAAGCGUUAUCCGGAAUUAUUGGGCGUAAAGCGCGCGCAGGCGGUUUCUUAAGUCUGAUGUGAAAGCCCACGGCUCGACCGUGGAGGGUCAUUGGAAACUGGGGAACUUGAGUGCAGAAGAGAAAAGCGGAAUUCCACGUGUAGCGGUGAAAUGCGUAGAGAUGUGGAGGAACACCAGUGGCGAAGGCGGCUCACUGGACCGGUUCUGACGCUGAGGCGCGAAAGCGUGGGGAGCAAACGGGA